This 265-nucleotide ribosomal RNA is filed under the name uncultured bacterium. RNAcentral describes it as "partial 16S ribosomal RNA". It matches the Rfam family "Bacterial small subunit ribosomal RNA", at positions 354 to 611 of the family's 1533-position model. The record is from RNAcentral.
GUAGGGAAUCUUCCACAAUGGACGCAAGUCUGAUGGAGCAACGCCGCGUGAGUGAAGAAGGCUUUCGGGUCGUAAAACUCUGUUAUUGAAGAAGAACGUGUGUGACAGUAACUGGUCAUGCAGUGACGGUAUUCAAUCAGAAAGUCACGGCUAACUACGUGCCAGCAGCCGCGGUAAUACGUAGGUGGCAAGCGUUGUCCGGAUUUAUUGGGCGUAAAGCGAGUGCAGGCGGUCUUUUAAGUCUGAUGUGAAAGCCUUCGGCUUA